UCACAGGAGUGUAGAGGCGGGUGUCGCUCCGCUGCUGUGGCGCUCUGGGAUUACUAACCGAAGAAAGCUGCAAAACUAACUCUGCCUUCUUUAACCGACACUUCACCGCUUCGGUGUCCGCCUGAGAGACACGGACGGUUAUUUCUGUAUUGUUUUAUUGCUCCACUCUGGACCUGCGAAGGAAACAAUAAGAUACUCUGCCGGCUGCUGUCUUAAAACCAGCCUGCACCGACCGGCUGUACUCACCUGCUCGGAGGAUCCCUGUUUGGAAGCGACGGUAAAGUAACAACGCUGUUCGUUUCUGAAGUACAACCUGUGCCAGUUUACAAAGUUGUAGAUUUGACCUGCGGAGACUUUGGAGUUCCCGUUCGCUGAUAUUUCAAGUGUUUAGAUUGUCUCAUUACAUUCGAGUCAGAGCGAGUCCACACUCCGUUAAUGGAUCCUUGUGCGGGAACGCUGCUACUGGAGCAGCUUUUUUAAAUUGGAAACCUUCCACUCAAUUAUCUGUCUACUCGUUUUAAUCAAAUGUCACAAAUUAGCUUUUUUGAUAUGUGGCACACUUUCGUGAAGAGUUUUUUUCCCUCCGACCCGAGGUGAAACUCAGUUCAACACCCGCUGACGCUAUCGGAACCACAUGGCUCGCAGUGAGCUCGAGGAGCAGAGGCAUCGUGCUCUCUGUUCAUCGUGCGGUGUUGGGUCGUCGAGUACCCUUUUAAAGGUUUGUUACUCGAUGGGGCUCUACUCUAGCACGCGCUCCAUUCUUCUGCCAGUUGGAUCCGUUGUGGUUGUUUCACAUGAAAAGCUUUCUGUGUUUGUGUUUCUGUCCGCUCUUUUUUUUUUUCAUCGGUUUGAAGUCAGCUCAGUUGAUGAAUACGGUGAGAUUUGUGAGGUUUACAUCCACGUUGCCAGGUUGCUAUCAAUUACAUCUAAUCGGUCUACAGUCAUCAGAUAAAUCGGGUCAGUUGUGUUUCAUGAACUCUGAAUAACGAGAACAAGAAGAACUUUAACGGUUGCUCAUUAUGGGACUUAUGAACCGGUUCCUCGGACUUGCACGUCUCUGUGAUUAUUAGAUCCGCGUUGAAAUCAGCAGGAGGAGGAGCUAGCUACCGUUAGCUUGAUGCAGCUAGCAGCCGGUGGGCAACA
Anarrhichthys ocellatus (wolf-eel) is the source of this 1143-nucleotide long non-coding RNA. RefSeq lists it as uncharacterized. The record is from RefSeq and is a predicted model, not a curated record. The transcript has 2 exons. NCBI's taxonomy places the organism in Eukaryota, Metazoa, Chordata, Actinopteri, Perciformes, Anarhichadidae.